GAUGAACGCUGGCGGUGUGCCUAAUACAUGCAAGUCGAACGAAGUCUUCGGACUUAGUGGCGAACGGGUGAGUAACACGUUGGUACCUACCCCUAAGUGGGAGUAACUGCCCGAAACGGGUAGGCUAAUACCGCAUAAUCCCGCAAGGUAAAGGCAGUAAUGCGCUUAGGGAGGGGCCGUGCGUCUGAUUAGCUAGCUGGUGAGGUAAUUGCUCACCAAGGCUACGAUCAGUAGCUGGAUCGAGAGGUUGACCAGCCACACUGGGACUGAGAUACGGCCCAGACUCCUACGGGAGGCAGCAGUUU
RNAcentral lists this ribosomal RNA (305 nucleotides) under uncultured bacterium. RNAcentral describes it as "bacterial SSU rRNA". It matches the Rfam family "Bacterial small subunit ribosomal RNA", at positions 28 to 357 of the family's 1533-position model. The record is from RNAcentral.